RNAcentral lists this ribosomal RNA (164 nucleotides) under uncultured bacterium. Its description in RNAcentral is "partial 16S ribosomal RNA". It matches the Rfam family "Bacterial small subunit ribosomal RNA", at positions 355 to 511 of the family's 1533-position model. The record is from RNAcentral.
UAGGGAAUCUUCCACAAUGGGCGCAAGUCUGAUGGAGCAACGCCGCGUGAGUGAAGAAGGGUUUCGGCUCGUAAAGCUCUGUUGUUAAAGAAGAACGUGGGUAAGAGUAACUGUUUACCCAGUGACGGUAUUUAACCAGAAAGCCACGGCUAACUACGUACCAG